This 294-nucleotide ribosomal RNA is filed under the name uncultured bacterium. RNAcentral's name for it is "partial 16S ribosomal RNA". It matches the Rfam family "Bacterial small subunit ribosomal RNA", at positions 29 to 334 of the family's 1533-position model. The record is from RNAcentral.
AACGAACGCUGGCGGCAUGCCUAACACAUGCAAGUCGAACGAGACCUUCGGGUCUAGUGGCGCACGGGUGCGUAACGCGUGGGAAUCUGCCCUUGGGUUCGGAAUAACUCGCCGAAAGGCGUGCUAAUACCGGAUGAUGUAUAUUUACGGCAUCGUAGAUAUAUCAAAGUGUUAGCGGUAUAGGAUGGACCCGCGUCUGAUUAGCUAGUUGGUGAGAUAACUGCCCACCAAGGCGACGAUCAGUAGCCGACCUGAGAGGGUGAUCGGCCACAUUGGAACUGAGACACGGUCCAA